UAGCCUUUAGCGACACAAGUAUUAAAGGUCCUGCCUGCCCAGUGAAACUUCUUUUUCAACGGCCGCGGUAUUCUAACCGUGCAAAGGUAGCGUAAUCACUUGUCUUCCAAAUAAAGACCGGUAUGAACGGCUAAAUGAGGACAGAUCUGUCUCCUACACCCAAUCAGUGAAACUGAUCUCCCAGUCCAAAAGCUGGAAUAUUAACAUUAGACGAGAAGACCCUGUGGAGCUUAAAACUCACCCAGUAACUAACAACUGACCCAAGUUUUAAGUUGGGGCGACUUCGGAACAAAACAAAACUUCCGAGAACAGAACCACCAAUUCCUACCAAGGCAAACAGGCCAAAGCAAACAACUGACCCAGUAAAACUGAUCAACGAACCAAGUUACCCCAGGGAUAACAGCGCCAUCCUCUUCAAGAGUCCAUAUCGACAAGAGGGUUUACGACCUCGAUGUUGGAUCAGGGCACCCAAAUGGUGCAGCCGCUAUUAAAGGUUCGUUUGUUCAACGAUUAACAGCC
Molecule: ribosomal RNA, 519 nt
Filed under: Lerista onsloviana
Lineage: Eukaryota; Metazoa; Chordata; Lepidosauria; Squamata; Scincidae
Description: partial 16S ribosomal RNA
Rfam family: Bacterial large subunit ribosomal RNA
Source: RNAcentral